CCGCGUGUGUGAAGAAGGCCNUNGGGUUGUAAAGCACUUUAAGUUGGGAANAAAAGUUAUUGGUUAAUACCCNAUGACCGUGACGUUACCUNCAGAAUAAGGACCGGCUAAUUCCGUGCCAGCAGCCGCGGUAAU
Molecule: ribosomal RNA, 135 nt
Filed under: uncultured bacterium
Lineage: Bacteria
Description: partial 16S ribosomal RNA
Rfam family: Bacterial small subunit ribosomal RNA
Source: RNAcentral